This 499-nucleotide long non-coding RNA is filed under the name Equus caballus (horse). RNAcentral's name for it is "lncRNA (ENSECAG00000053111.1)". Lineage: Eukaryota; Metazoa; Chordata; Mammalia; Perissodactyla; Equidae. The record is from RNAcentral.
GGGGGGUGGAGGGCAGCCUGGUAGGCACCACAUGGUUCCCGAGAAAUCCGCCACAGUUUGGGAAAUACAGAAAAACAGGAAAUGCUCUGGGCAAAUAUCAAAAUGAGAUUUCCCGUAGUAGGAGGAUUUGAGGAUGGGUCCUGGCAGAGGGUGAAGGAUCAGCGGUGCCUGUGGCCCAGAGGGGGCUCCUGGGCAGACGCUCCUCUACCAGCCUGGGUGUGGAGGAACCCCUGGGCUCCACCAGGCCAGAACCUCAACAAGGACGGGGGAAAGCCAGUUAAGACACUGUCCUCCCACACUACCUGGAGUUUCAAGUCCUAUUGAGGCAAGAGGUUGAUUUCCUGUGUCCCGGGGACCCUGCCUCAGUCUUUGGAGAACUGGCUUCCGAGAGCCUCAUAAAUAUGCCUGGCCCUGGAUUUAUUACAUGACAGUGAUCCUGCUCAGCCAGCUGGUGAGAUGCAGAGUUCUGACCCCUUCUUUAACGCCCUCCUCUCCCUCA